RNAcentral lists this ribosomal RNA (125 nucleotides) under Salmonella enterica subsp. enterica serovar Enteritidis. RNAcentral's name for it is "partial 23S ribosomal RNA". It matches the Rfam family "Bacterial large subunit ribosomal RNA", at positions 2802 to 2925 of the family's 2925-position model. The record is from RNAcentral. Lineage: Bacteria; Pseudomonadati; Pseudomonadota; Gammaproteobacteria; Enterobacterales; Enterobacteriaceae.
AGACUACGAGUCUACUGAAGGAACGUUGAAGACGACGACGUUGAGAGGGCGGGGGGGUAAGCGCAGCGAUGCGUUGAGCUAACCGGUACUAAUGAACCGUGAGGCUUAACCUUACAACGCCGAAG